AGGCUGGCCAUCCCACUGCUGCCCGUGAGAACCGGGCCCCCGCUGCGCCCAUCAGCCAAGAGAGGAAGACGCCCAGCGCUCAGGGGCCCGUCCCGCCCCUCAGCUCCGGGUGGAAGCGCGUUUCUGCAGAGGGUGCGGGAGCAGCUCUAGCUCUGCGGCCCGGCGCCCGCGGUUAAAUCCCGGUUGCGAGUGGGGGGUUCGUGGAUUGUCUCCUUGGUCCACGUGCAGGGACAAGUCAUUUUUCCACGCAGACCUGGAAAGUAUUUCGUUUACUCGCACUGACUACAGAGAGUUCUCCCCUCCCUCUAAACUGGAGAUUUAUGAAACUUAUGCCGUGGCAGCUUCUUAAAAUGUUUUAACAUUAGAUGCAGACUCUUGGAAAGAGGGUGUAUUUAUGAAAAAAUAAAACCUCGUGAAAUGAUCGUUCUCUCAGGAAGCCAGCGAGCGACGCAUGUGCACUGGGGCAGUUAUUGCAGACGGUCUGUUUAUUGCCAGACAGUGCACCCCGCUUCUGGAACCCUCCCCACGGGAACAGCUUCCUGCUCGGCUGUCCCCUGCACCGUGCCCUGCCAAGUCCACCGCACAGAUCACGGGGUUCUCUCUGCAGAGAGGUGCAGGGUUGGGGGUGCUUUCUUCAAACUGCAGACCGAGGAGGCUUCUGUUUGGACGCUCGUCCGAGCCCAGAGCUCUUCUGGCUCAGAUGUGCCAUUUUGACCAUGACCUUCAAACUGGCCAGCCGUGGGCUCAGGCCAGCCUGAGCCGUCACUGGGGGAGCUCAGGCAGGUGACUUAGCGCCAACCCAUCUUUAGGGCGGGGUUGCCCUUGUCGUCUCACAACCGCUGUGAGCUAUGAGGCUCUCAGUGCAGAGGCCCGGCGCUCAAUAGACACGAGUUAUUAUUAUUAUUGGAAUUAUCUCUGUUACCGCUAUUAUUAACUCCAAGCCAUCGUCAUGAUCUGCUGUGCGCUUGGCAAGCGGACUCCUCCAAUGAGGGGAAACUACAGAAAAAGGCAAAGCCAGUUUCCCUUUCUCCAAGCAGCGUAUCUCGGUUCAGUCCUUUUUGAAACGUCAUCACCACCUUAAUUACCUUAAAAACAUAAUCAUUUUUAUCAAAGACCUCCGUGUGGGGAAGAGAUUUGUUUUUUCUGGAGGAGCCUGGGGAGGCGGGGCCUGAAGGCCUGGGGGCGGGGCCUUGGGGAAGCGGCUGCACCAGCUUCCCUGCAGCCCUGCUGGGGUUUCUGGCCUUGUGUCCAGUGCCCUAAACUGUCCCAGUUCCGGGGCGCACAUCAACCACAGAAGAGUGGAUAAGAAAUCGGACAGCUGGCACCCUGACACGCCAUGGCCGGAAGUGAAACGGUCCUGACGACGCAGGACGCACCCAGGAGAGCAGGAGCCAGCAGUUCCCGCCCUCCUGGCUGCCUCCAGGGCUCUCUGUGCCCCCUUCCUGGAGGUCACCUUUCCCUGCAUCUCUGCGGGCUCCUAGCUCCUCAGAGACGCUUUCUCCGGUCAUCUGAUCCUCGAUGCGUACCAGGGACUCAAAGAAACCAGGAUGUCUGCCAAAACUUAAAGGACACCAGGAGGGUCCCCAAAGCGACAGACUUCUCUGCAUCUGGAGGAAAUGGCUAUAUUUGAAAAUAACACCGACUUUUUCAAAGGGUAACCGUAUAGCAAGAGCAAACUCUGUGUGAGCCUCCCUCUUCAGAUGGCUGGUCUUUCACAAUGAGAAGAGCUUGGGUGCCACAAAAUGAAGGAGGAACCAAGGCUGCCUGCAAACCUCAGGCAGCACAAAAGCCUGAUUGCUGCCACCCAGUCGAUUUAGAUUUACUGCAUUUUAAAAUUCAAAUCCAGAAGUUCCCUUGUGGUGCAGCAGGUUAAACAUCCCAGGACACUGCAGGGGCACGGGUUCAAUCCCUAGCCCAAGAACUUCCACAUGCCAUGGGUGUGGCCAGAAAAAAAAAAAAAAAAAGAUUCAAGUCCACAAAGAUGUCCGUCAUUGCUGAUUAUUAGGGAAAUGCCAAUCAAAACUACCAUGAGGCACCAUAUAACUGUUCAUCAUUCGUAAUCACCCUUUUGGUUUUUGUUUAGCUGGUUUCUUUUUUCAUUAUUUGAGAAUAAUUUCAAUAGUGGCUUCAUCAUGACAUUGUAUAUAAACCUGUCUAAUGUGUAUAUUAUGUCAUAUCUCGGUAUUUAUAGCAGAAACAUAUACUUAGUCAUAAAUAUAUACUCAGGAAAUUCCAGAGAAUAUAAAAAUUUUCAAACAUUUGUAAACAUGUGCUCUCAUUAAAAGUUUUCUCGGAGUUCCCAUCAUGGCUCAGUGGUUAACGAACCCAACUAGCAUCCAUGAGGACGCAGGUUCUAUCCCUGGCCUCCCUCAGUGGGUUAAGGAUGCGGCGCUGCCUUCAGCUAUGGUGUAGGCCAGCAGCUACAGCUCUUAUUGGACCCCUAGCCUGGGAACCUGUGUAUGCUUCGAGCGUGGCCCUAAAAAGACAAAAAGACCAAAAAAAAAAAAAGUUUUCUCUGGUAUUUUAGGUGAAUAAUAUUUAUGCCACCAGAAAGCAAACGAACAAACAGAAAGACUUUAAAAAUUUACAACUAAUUCUAAUACAAAGAGGAGUCUGUUUUUGCUUGGUAAAUAUUUAUAUGCUCUAGAAGUAUUGCUUUGAGCUUUCAAAGUCUAAGGAAAGAGUAUUUUCGAAGAGAAGGCAAAUGUAGAACUAGGUAAAAAGAAUGACUUGGGAAAUUAUGUGGCUUCUGCAAGUUUUCCUGCACAUUUUUUCCUAUUAACUAGAUUUCUCCAUAAAGGCUUUUUUUUUUUUCCCGCUCUUUAUAGAAGAAAUACUUGUCUUGACACGCACGAUAUAUGACAGAUAUUUUCAGAUAUCAAUAAAUGAGCUCUAAGUAGCCAAA
Molecule: long non-coding RNA, 2905 nt
Organism: Sus scrofa (pig)
Lineage: Eukaryota; Metazoa; Chordata; Mammalia; Artiodactyla; Suidae
Source: RefSeq, a predicted model, not a curated record